CACGUAGGCGGUAGGACAAGUUAGAUGUGAAAUAUUAGGGCUUAACCUUGAUGCUGCAUCUAAAACUGUUUUACUAGAGUUCACUAGAGGGAGGCGGAAUUUCCGGUGUAGCGGUGAAAUGCGUAGAUAUCGGAAGGAACACCAGUGGCGAAGGCGGCCUUCUGGAGUUGAACUGACGCUAAGGUGCGAAAGCGUGGGGAGCGAACG
This 207-nucleotide ribosomal RNA is filed under the name uncultured bacterium. RNAcentral's name for it is "partial 16S ribosomal RNA". It matches the Rfam family "Bacterial small subunit ribosomal RNA", at positions 568 to 774 of the family's 1533-position model. The record is from RNAcentral.